Melozone crissalis (California towhee) is the source of this 579-nucleotide long non-coding RNA. RefSeq lists it as uncharacterized. Lineage: Eukaryota; Metazoa; Chordata; Aves; Passeriformes; Passerellidae. The transcript is spliced from 4 exons. The record is from RefSeq and is a predicted model, not a curated record.
UAUCAGAUCCCAAGCAAUACUUCAGUGCCUUCACCUGCCUCCUCAAAUACAGGGUGGGCAGCCAGUGCUUUUGGAAGUUGGCUGGAAGGAAUUCCACCUCCUCCUUCAGAGACCAUGCCACGGGUCCUUAGCGGAAGGACUGAAUAGAGCUGUAAUUGGUGAAAGGAAGGACCAGCUUUGAACAUGAACAAGGACCAGUCUUGAGCAUGAACCAGGAGCUGCAACCAGGCGCCCCCAUUAUGAGAACAUUCCUACACAGCAUCAUAAAUGUGGAAGUUUGCAUCAGUGCAUGAAUGAACGCCCCUGCCAAGCUGAUCCAAGGCGCCUAACUGCUGCUGCAAGCUGAACUCAAAGAUGCUGAUGUGUGUAACUGUAGUGAUGGGUUUAUGGGAGGAUGACUUCUCUAUUGGAUGGUGAGAGAUGGUGAUGCACUAAUAAAGACAAUUAACAGUGUUCACAACAGUGAAUCACUUUAAAAUCAAGGAACUGUUUUCAAGAUAAGGUGAAUCCAGUCAGGAAUGUGUUGAUGGCUGUGAGGGCUCCUGGAACCUGUGGUACUGGGGCUCAACAGUGACAGAA